Non-coding RNA from Pelobates cultripes (western spadefoot toad), 347 nucleotides. NCBI's taxonomy places the organism in Eukaryota, Metazoa, Chordata, Amphibia, Anura, Pelobatidae. The record is from the annotation of a GenBank genome assembly.
UUAGGCCUCUAUAAAUCUGUAAGGCCCCUUUAAAUCCUCUUGCUAUACCUCUAAGAGGCCCCCAUAGUUUUAUAAGAAAGCCUUGUCUAUAGAACAUAGAAUUUGCAUGCCAGCAAGAAACAGCUUUGAUAAAAUGUGUAUUUACUAAAAGCCUUGAAACCUAACCUUGAGAAACUAACUAACUAAGUGCCAGCUACGCUCUAAAUGGAUAGCUGCCAAAAGGCCCCUCCCGUCGAGUGAGCUCCUCAUGUUAGCAAAAUGGCGCUAAAACCUGGAGGAGUUAAAAAUGACGUGGAUAGUGACCUAAGAAUGGGGAGGGCAUUUUACUAACAUCUUAGCACCUAAGC